Molecule: ribosomal RNA, 587 nt
Filed under: uncultured bacterium
Lineage: Bacteria
Description: partial 16S ribosomal RNA
Rfam family: Bacterial small subunit ribosomal RNA
Source: RNAcentral
UGGGGAAUUUUGGACAAUGGGCGAAAGCCUGAUCCAGCAAUGCCGCGUGUGUGAAGAAGGCCUUCGGGUUGUAAAGCACUUUUGUCCGGAAAGAAAUCCUUGGCUCUAAUACAGUCGGGGGAUGACGGUACCGGAAGAAUAAGCACCGGCUAACUACGUGCCAGCAGCCGCGGUAAUACGUAGGGUGCAAGCGUUAAUCGGAAUUACUGGGCGUAAAGCGUGCGCAGGCGGUUUGCUAAGACCGAUGUGAAAUCCCCGGGCUCAACCUGGGAACUGCAUUGGUGACUGGCAGGCUAGAGUAUGGCAGAGGGGAGUAGAAUUCCACGUGUAGCAGUGAAAUGCGUAGAGAUGUGGAGGAAUACCGAUGGCGAAGGCAGCCCCCUGGGCCAAUACUGACGCUCAUGCACGAAAGCGUGGGGAGCAAACAGGAUUAGAUACCCUGGUAGUCCACGCCCUAAACGAUGUCAACUAGUUGUUGGGGACUUCAUUUCCUUAGUAACGUAGCUAACGCGUGAAGUUGACCGCCUGGGGGAGUACGGUCGCAAGAUUAAAACUCAAAGGAAUUGACGGGGUCAUAGCUGUUUCCU